This 297-nucleotide long non-coding RNA is filed under the name Homo sapiens (human). Its description in RNAcentral is "long non-coding RNA NONHSAT237231". Lineage: Eukaryota; Metazoa; Chordata; Mammalia; Primates; Hominidae. The record is from RNAcentral.
UCCAGAUCUCUGUUUGUGGUGAGGUGUAAUUAUGUGUGUUUUUCCUAGCUUAGUGUGUGCGUUCUUUCUUUUUGUUUCUGAGAAUGCUGUGUUGAGGGGGUUUUUGGAGAAAACGGUGGGGUUGGGAGGUUGUAGUACUUCAAACAAAGGUGAACGAUUUUUUAGGUGAGUGAGCGUUGUGUUUUAAAGGUUAUACUUUGUUAUAUUCACGUUCUUAUUGCGUUAUAUCAUGCUUCAGAAUUGGUCGUCAAUAUCCUUGUCUAGGUGAGAGUAUGUGUGACCAGCCCCCUCCCCGCC